GUGCCAGCAGCCGCGGUAAUACGGAGGGUGCGAGCGUUAAUCGGAAUUACUGGGCGUAAAGGGCGCGUAGGCGGUCGCGCAAGUCGGGUGUGAAAGCCCCGGGCUCAACCUGGGAAUUGCAUUCGAUACUGCGUAACUAGAGUCUGGUAGAGGGAAGCGGAAUUCCGCAUGUAGCGGUGAAAUGCGUAGAUAUGCGGAGGAACACCAGUGGCGAAGGCGGCUUCCUGGACCAAGACUGACGCUGAGGCGCGAAAGCGUGGGGAGCAAACAGGAUUAGAUACCCCGGUAGUCCACGCCCUAAACGAUGAGGACUAGACGUUGGGGGGAUAAAACCCUUUAGUGUCGCAGCUAACGCGUGAAGUCCUCCGCCUGGGGAGUACGGCCGCAAGGUUGAAACUCAAAGGAAUUGGCGG
Molecule: ribosomal RNA, 413 nt
Filed under: uncultured bacterium
Lineage: Bacteria
Description: bacterial SSU rRNA
Rfam family: Bacterial small subunit ribosomal RNA
Source: RNAcentral